Molecule: ribosomal RNA, 472 nt
Filed under: uncultured organism
Description: partial 16S ribosomal RNA
Rfam family: Bacterial small subunit ribosomal RNA
Source: RNAcentral
ACUCCUGCGGGAGGCAGCAGUGGGGAAUUUUGGACAAUGGGCGAAAGCCUGAUCCAGCAAUGCCGCGUGUGUGAAGAAGGCCUUCGGGUUGUAAAGCACUUUUGUCCGGAAAGAAAUCCUUGGCUCUAAUACAGUCGGGGGAUGACGGUACCGGAAGAAUAAGCACCGGCUAACUACGUGCCAGCAGCCGCGGUAAUACGUAGGGUGCGAGCGUUAAUCGGAAUUACUGGGCGUAAAGCGUGCGCAGGCGGUUUGCUAAGACCGAUGUGAAAUCCCCGGGCUCAACCUGGGAACUGCAUUGGUGACUGGCAGGCUAGAGUAUGGCAGAGGGGGGUAGAAUUCCACGUGUAGCAGUGAAAUGCGUAGAGAUGUGGAGGAAUACCGAUGGCGAAGGCAGCCCCCUGGGCCAAUACUGACGCUCAUGCACGAAAGCGUGGGGAGCAAACAGGAUUAGAAACCCUGGUAGUCCCAU